UACAGAGGUCUCAAGCGUUGUUCGGAUUCAUUGGGCGUAAAGGGUGCGUAGGCGGCGCGGUAAGUCGGGUGUGAAAUCUUGGAGCUUAACUCCGAAACUGCAUUCGAUACUGCCGUGCUUGAGGACUGGAGAGGAGACUGGAAUUUACGGUGUAGCGGUGAAAUGCGUAGAUAUCAGGAGGAACACCGGUGGCGAAGGCGGCCCUCUGGACGGAUACUGACGCUGAGGCGCGAAAGCGUGGGGAUCAAACAGG
RNAcentral lists this ribosomal RNA (253 nucleotides) under uncultured bacterium. Its description in RNAcentral is "partial 16S ribosomal RNA". It matches the Rfam family "Bacterial small subunit ribosomal RNA", at positions 524 to 776 of the family's 1533-position model. The record is from RNAcentral.